GGCCAUCUGCAGCUUUGUGCCAGGGCACCUGCUUUGCAUGCAAAAGGUCCCAGGUUCAAAUCCUGGCAUCACCA
This is a non-coding RNA of Phrynosoma platyrhinos (Desert horned lizard), 74 nucleotides long. The record is from the annotation of a GenBank genome assembly. NCBI's taxonomy places the organism in Eukaryota, Metazoa, Chordata, Lepidosauria, Squamata, Phrynosomatidae.